RNAcentral lists this ribosomal RNA (480 nucleotides) under uncultured bacterium. Its description in RNAcentral is "partial 16S ribosomal RNA". It matches the Rfam family "Bacterial small subunit ribosomal RNA", at positions 899 to 1397 of the family's 1533-position model. The record is from RNAcentral.
ACUCAAAUGAAUAGACGGGGACCCGCACAAGCAGCGGAGCGUGUGGUUUAAUUCGAUGCGACGCGAAGAACCUUACCAGGGCUUGACAUGCUCUCGCACCGUCUAGAGAUAGGCGUGCCCGCAAGGGACGGGAGCACAGGUGCUGCAUGGCUGUCGUCAGCUCGUGCCGUGAGGUGUUGGGUUAAGUCCCCCAACGAGCGCAACCCCUAUCGUCGGUUGUAUUUUUCCGGCGAAACUGCCCGCGAGGGAGGAAGGAGGGGCUGAAGUCAAGUCAGCACGGCCCUUACGUCCUGGGCUACACACACGCUACAAUGGCUGGUACAAUGGGCCGCCAACCCGCAAGGGGGAGCCAAUCCCAGCAAAGCCAGCCUCAGUUCAGAUUGGCGGCUGCAACCCGCCGCCAUGAAGGUGGAGUUGCUAGUAACCGCAGGUCAGCACACUGCGGUGAAUACGUUCCCGGGUCUUGCACACACCGCCCGU